This 273-nucleotide long non-coding RNA is filed under the name Daucus carota (carrot). RNAcentral's name for it is "long non-coding RNA (DCAR_LNC007031)". The record is from RNAcentral. Lineage: Eukaryota; Viridiplantae; Streptophyta; Magnoliopsida; Apiales; Apiaceae.
CUACAUUAGUUCACUAUGCAUGUUGAUAUCAUUGAGACUCUACUACUUCACAUAUCUUAAUUAUAAGUGAGACUGAUUAAUUUAAAUUUUCUCUCAUAUACUAGACAGUGAUUAUAAACUCUGAUGUUUUUGUUACCUUGAGACAAAACCCCCCUGAAAAAUAAGCAUGGUACUCCUUUGAGAUCUUAGAUGUUAAUAUGACAGUGACUGGGAAGAACCAAACAUUUGCUGGUAUUAAGUAAUUGCUAAGAUUUUAUAAUCUAUGGUGACCAG